GAGGGAAUAGCUCAGUGGUAGAGUGCAUGCUUAGCAUGCACAAGGUCCUGGGUUCAAUCCCCAGUACCUCCA
Molecule: transfer RNA, 72 nt
Organism: Camelus ferus (Wild Bactrian camel)
Lineage: Eukaryota; Metazoa; Chordata; Mammalia; Artiodactyla; Camelidae
Rfam family: tRNA
About the family: Transfer RNA (tRNA) molecules are approximately 80 nucleotides in length. Their secondary structure includes four short double-helical elements and three loops (D, anti-codon, and T loops). Further hydrogen bonds mediate the characteristic L-shaped molecular structure. tRNAs have two regions of fundamental functional importance: the anti-codon, which is responsible for specific mRNA codon recognition, and the 3' end, to which the tRNAs corresponding amino acid is attached (by aminoacyl-tRNA synthetases). tRNAs cope with the degeneracy of the genetic code in two manners: having more than one tRNA (with a specific anti-codon) for a particular amino acid; and 'wobble' base-pairing, i.e. permitting non-standard base-pairing at the 3rd anti-codon position.
Source: Rfam